RNAcentral lists this ribosomal RNA (250 nucleotides) under uncultured bacterium. RNAcentral describes it as "partial 16S ribosomal RNA". It matches the Rfam family "Bacterial small subunit ribosomal RNA", at positions 524 to 773 of the family's 1533-position model. The record is from RNAcentral.
UACGGAGGAUGCAAGCGUUAUCCGGAAUUAUUGGGCGUAAAGCGUCCGUAGGUGGCGAAUCAAGUCUGUUGUCAAAGCGUGCGGCUUAACCGCAUACGGGCGAUGGAAACUGGUUUGCUAGAGUGCGAUAGGGGUCACAGGAAUUCCCAGUGUAGCGGUGAAAUGCGUAGAUAUUGGGAAGAACACCAGCGGCGAAAGCGUGUGGCUGGGUCUGCACUGACACUGAUGGACGAAAGCUAGGGUAGCGAAA